UACAGAGGGGGCAAGCGUUGUUCGGAAUUACUGGGCGUAAAGGGCGCGUAGGCGGCCUGCUAAGUCGAACGUGAAAUCCCCGGGCUCAACCCGGGAGCUGCGUCCGAUACUGGCAGGCUUGAAUCCGGGAGAGGGAUGCGGAAUUCCAGGUGUAGCGGUGAAAUGCGUAGAUAUCUGGAGGAACACCGGUGGCGAAGGCGGCAUCCUGGACCGGCAUUGACGCUGAGGCGCGAAAGCCAGGGGAGCAAACGGG
Molecule: ribosomal RNA, 253 nt
Filed under: uncultured bacterium
Lineage: Bacteria
Description: partial 16S ribosomal RNA
Rfam family: Bacterial small subunit ribosomal RNA
Source: RNAcentral